RNAcentral lists this ribosomal RNA (453 nucleotides) under uncultured bacterium. RNAcentral's name for it is "bacterial SSU rRNA". It matches the Rfam family "Bacterial small subunit ribosomal RNA", at positions 99 to 569 of the family's 1533-position model. The record is from RNAcentral.
CGGACGGGUGAGUAACACGUGAGCAACCUACCUUUAAGAGAGGGAUAGCUUCUGGAAACGGAUGGUAAUACCUUAUAAAAUAUUUGUAUGGCAUCAUAUAAAUAUCAAAGAUUAAUCACUUAAAGAUGGGCUCGCGUCUGAUUAGCUAGUUGGUAAGGUAACGGCCUACCAAGGCAACGAUCAGUAGCCGGACUGAGAGGUUGAACGGCCACAUUGGGACUGAGACACGGCCCAGACUCCUACGGGAGGCAGCAGUGGGGAAUAUUGCACAAUGGGCGAAAGCCUGAUGCAGCGAUGCCGCGUGAGGGAAGAAGGUUUUCGGAUUGUAAACCUCUGUCAUAAGGGACGAAAACAGACGGUACCUUAGAAGGAAGCUCCGGCUAACUACGUGCCAGCAGCCGCGGUAAUACGUAGGGAGCAAGCGUUAUCCGGAAUUACUGGGUGUAAAGGGAG